Molecule: ribosomal RNA, 417 nt
Filed under: uncultured bacterium
Lineage: Bacteria
Description: bacterial SSU rRNA
Rfam family: Bacterial small subunit ribosomal RNA
Source: RNAcentral
UGAGUAACGCGUAUCCAACCUCGGCCCUUAGUAGGGGAGUAGCCCGGCGAAAGUCGGAUUAAUACCCUAUGUUUUCCGUUGAGAGCAUUUGAAGCGGAGGAAAGAUUCAUCGCUAGGGGAUGGGGGAUGCGUCCGAUUAGGCAGCAGGCGGGGUAACGGCCACCUGGCCCGCGAUCGGUAGGGGUUCUGAGAGGAAGGUCCCCCACAUUGGAACUGAGACACGGUCCAAACUCCUACGGGAGGCAGCAGUGAGGAAUAUUGGCCAAUGGGCGCGAGCCUGAACCAACGCCAAGUAGCGUGAGGGAUGACGGCCCUAUGGGUUGUAAACCUCUUUUGCCGGGGAAUAAAGUCGGGGACGCGUCCCCGUUUGUAUGUACCCGGAGAAUAAGGACCGGCUAAUUCCGUGCCAGCAGCGGC